UGGGGAAUAUUGCACAAUGGGCGCAAGCCUGAUGCAGCAACGCCGCGUGAGGGGACGACGGCCUUCGGGUUGUAAACCUCUUUUAGUAGGGAAGAAGCGAAAGUGACGGUACCUGCAGAAAAAGCACCGGCUAACUACGUGCCAGCAGCCGCGGUAAUACGUAGGGUGCAAGCGUUGUCCGGAAUUAUUGGGCGUAAAGAGCUCGUAGGCGGUUUGUCGCGUCUGCUGUGAAAACCCGAGGCUCAACCUCGGGCCUGCAGUGGGUACGGGCAGACUAGAGUGCGGUAGGGGAGAAUGGAAUUCCUGGUGUAGCGGUGGAAUGCGCAGAUAUCAGGAGGAACACCGAUGGCGAAGGCAGUUCUCUGGGCCCGUAACUGACGCUGAGGAGCGAAAGCGUGGGGAGCGAACAGGAUUAGAUACCCU
RNAcentral lists this ribosomal RNA (423 nucleotides) under uncultured bacterium. Its description in RNAcentral is "partial 16S ribosomal RNA". It matches the Rfam family "Bacterial small subunit ribosomal RNA", at positions 355 to 788 of the family's 1533-position model. The record is from RNAcentral.